GCGAGAGUGGUGAAAUUGGCAGACACGCCAGACUUAGGAUCUGGUACCUUACGGUAUAGGGGUUCAAGUCCCCUCUCUCGCA
This 82-nucleotide transfer RNA is filed under the name Sphaerochaeta pleomorpha str. Grapes. Its description in RNAcentral is "tRNA-Leu (TAG) (tRNA-Leu-TAG-1-1)". It matches the Rfam family "tRNA". From Rfam's summary of the family: Transfer RNA (tRNA) molecules are approximately 80 nucleotides in length. Their secondary structure includes four short double-helical elements and three loops (D, anti-codon, and T loops). Lineage: Bacteria; Pseudomonadati; Spirochaetota; Spirochaetia; Spirochaetales; Sphaerochaetaceae. RNAcentral also lists the same sequence under 1 other name. The record is from Rfam by way of RNAcentral.